This 424-nucleotide ribosomal RNA is filed under the name uncultured bacterium. Its description in RNAcentral is "bacterial SSU rRNA". It matches the Rfam family "Bacterial small subunit ribosomal RNA", at positions 358 to 773 of the family's 1533-position model. The record is from RNAcentral.
GGAAUCUUGCGCAAUGGGCGAAAGCCUGACGCAGCGACGCCGUGUGGGUGAUGAAGGCCUUCAGGUCGUAAAGCCCUGUCAGGGGGGACGAAAUCUUGGCGACCUAAUACGUCGCCGACUUGACGGUACCUCCACAGGAAGCACCGGCUAACUCCGUGCCAUCAGCCGCGGUAAUACGGAGGGUGCGAGCGUCGUUCGGAAUCACUGGGCGUAAAGGGCGUGUAGGCGGCCUUUUAAGUCUGAUGUGAAAGCCCGGGGAUCACCCCCGGAAGUGCAUUGGAUACUGGAAGGCUGGAGUACCGGAGAGGAGGGUGGAAUUCCUGGUGUAGCGGUGAAAUGCGUAGAUAUCAGGAGGAACACCUGUGGCGAAGGCGGCCCUCUGGACGGAUACUGACGCUGAGACGCGAAAGCGUGGGGAGCAAAC